UACAUUCAAAACAUGGCCCGCAAAACUGC
RNAcentral lists this small RNA (29 nucleotides) under Bombyx mori (domestic silkworm). RNAcentral's name for it is "ovarian small RNA-20463". Lineage: Eukaryota; Metazoa; Arthropoda; Insecta; Lepidoptera; Bombycidae. The record is from RNAcentral.